GGAUAAUCUACCCUUAGGACCGGGAUAACCCUGGGAAACUGGGGAUAAUACUGGAUAGGCAAUUAUUCCUGUAAUGGUUUUUUGUUUAAAUGUUUUUUCGCCUAAGGAUGAGUCUGCGGCCGAUUAGGUAGUUGGUUAGGUAAUGGCUUACCAAGCCGUUGAUCGGUACGGGUUGUGAGAGCAAGAGCCCGGAGAUGGAACCUGAGACAAGGUUCCAGGCCCUACGGGGUGCAGCAGGCGCGAAACCUCCGCAAUGUAAGAAAUCGCGACGGGGGGAUCCCAAGUGCCAUUCUUAACGGGAUGGCUUUUCAUUAGUGUAAAGAGCUUUUGGAAUAAGAGCUGGGCAAGACCGGUGCCAGCCGCCGCGGUAACACCGGCAGCUCUAGUGGUAACAAUUUUUAUUGGGCCUAAAGCGUCCGUAGCCGGUUUAAUAAGUCUCUGGUGAAAUCCUGCAGCUUAACUGUGGGAAUUGCUGGAGAUACUAUUAGACUUGAGACCGGGAGAGGUUAGAGGUACUCCCAGGGUAGAGGUGAAAUUCUGUAAUCCUGGGAGGACCGCCUGUUGCGAAGGCGUCUAACUGGAACGGUUCUGACGGUGAGGGACGAAAGUUAGGGGCGCGAACCGGAUUAGAUACCCGGGUAGUCCUAACUGUAAACGAUGCGGACUUGGUGUUGGGGUGGCUUUGAGCUGCUUCAGUGCCGAAGGGAAGCUGUUAAGUCCGCCGCCUGGGAAGUACGGUCGCAAGACUGAAACUUAA
RNAcentral lists this ribosomal RNA (757 nucleotides) under uncultured archaeon. RNAcentral's name for it is "bacterial SSU rRNA". It matches the Rfam family "Archaeal small subunit ribosomal RNA", at positions 102 to 859 of the family's 1478-position model. The record is from RNAcentral.